RNAcentral lists this long non-coding RNA (324 nucleotides) under Brassica rapa (field mustard). RNAcentral describes it as "long non-coding RNA (BRAP_LNC000286)". Lineage: Eukaryota; Viridiplantae; Streptophyta; Magnoliopsida; Brassicales; Brassicaceae. The record is from RNAcentral.
AAUCAUUUGUAAGCAAAACUUCUGUUUGGAAGUGACGACUGGUAAAAACAAUGAUAUUAACAGAUAUGUAUUGUUUUUAUUUUGAAGUUUGCAGAAUCCAAUAAACGUUCAAGCUUGGUAUUGCUGGAACAUCAUUCUCAAUAUACAAAGAGAUGGUAUAUCUAAUCUAUAAAAAAGGAAAAUUAGUGUUGAUGCAAUUGAAGUUUGUUUAAAAUGUAGAUGUUACUUUGUUAUUUAAUGAUACGUUAUGUUUCAUUAGGAAGACAUUAUGUUACUUUUAAAAUAAAAGAAUUACGUAGCUGUAAUGUAGGUGUUUCUGUUUAA